Molecule: ribosomal RNA, 496 nt
Filed under: uncultured bacterium
Lineage: Bacteria
Description: partial 16S ribosomal RNA
Rfam family: Bacterial small subunit ribosomal RNA
Source: RNAcentral
GAUGAACGCUGGCGGCGUGCCUAAUACAUGCAAGUCGAGCGAACAGAUGAGGAGCUUGCUCCUCUGACGUUAGCGGCGGACGGGUGAGUAACACGUGGAUAACCUACCUAUAAGACUGGGAUAACUUCGGGAAACCGGAGCUAAUACCGGAUAAUAUAUUUAACCGCAUGGUUCAAUAGUGAAAGACGGUUUUGCUGUCACUUAUAGAUGGAUACGGGCGGCUUUAGCUAGUUGGUAGGGUAACGGCUUCCCAAGGGAACGAUGCGUAGGCGACGGGAGAGGGGGAGCAGGCACCCCAGACUUGAAACGCGACACAGACCCAAACGGGACGGCGGAGUGCGGAAUGUAACAGAAGGGGCGAAAGCAUGACGGAAACCAGCCGAGUGAGUGAUGAAAGUCCUCGGCUCGUAAAACUAUGUUACUGGGAAAGAACAAAAAUGUAAGUGACUAUGCCCGUCUUGCAGGUACCGAAUCAGAAAGCAACGGCUAAUUACGU